This is a long non-coding RNA of Nymphaea colorata (pocket water lily), 3120 nucleotides long. RefSeq lists it as uncharacterized. The transcript is spliced from 3 exons. NCBI's taxonomy places the organism in Eukaryota, Viridiplantae, Streptophyta, Magnoliopsida, Nymphaeales, Nymphaeaceae. The record is from RefSeq and is a predicted model, not a curated record.
CAAACAUGUUGCUAACCAUUUUUCAGUUUUCGCCUGUUCUGAGGCUCCCACUCUUGAAGUCGUUGCUAUAUGGAGAACAACAUAAAUGAUAUCAUACAAGGACAAUAAUAUUUUAAAGCAUGCCUAGAACCUCAAUUUCCCUUUGCUUUUCAAACUAUAUUUUCAGAACUCUUUUCCGGCAAUUUAACAAGCCUAAGGGUACCAGCACAUAAUUGUACAUAAAUCUUUGGUUUUCUGCAUAAAUUGCAAAAGUUUUCCUAGAACCCUCUUUCAGAAAUUUUAAUAAAUUUGAGGGUAUUGCUACGCAAUUUCUAUAAAGAUUCCGGUUUUUGUUGAAAUUAACUUUUGCAAGCUUUUUUUUGAAAAAGUUUUCAGCAAAAGUUUUGCAGCUUUAAUUUUCAAUAAAUUUGACCUCCCUUUUGGAAAACUGAUGAAAGAGAUGGACUAUUUUUGUAAUUUUAGGUCUUAAGUAUAAAUACCCCUCCAAACGAGUUUUUCCCAUUUCACCGUCUGAUCCUAUCUCUCUUCUCACGAACUUCUCUCCCCUCUUCACGCAAAAAAACCCUUCUACUAGGGUUUCGCCCGCCGUGCCGCCCCUCUGUUACAAUCUGUUCUUCUCUCUUCCAGGAACUUGCUUUCUGUGUCUCUCUCGCACUUCUUCUGUGGGAUCAACUUCGGUCUGAAAAAAAAAAUGGUGAAGAAGGAAGGAGGGACGCUAGGGCGGCGAGGGUGCUGGAGGACCUGAUAGAGUGGGCAGGCGGAUGCGCGGUGGUGGAGAGAGGGUUUGCCACCUGGCUGGAACACCAUGGCGUGGCGCUAAUAUCAACGACCCAUUGUGAAGCACCUCCUGCCUGAUCACCAAUCCCGAACACAUCAAACAGAUUACAGACAUCAAAAAGCCAGACACAACUUACUUUGAUUCGUCAAUCCUGCGCUCUGAUACCAAUGUUGGAACUGUGACGUUCCACCCAGGAUCUCAACGCUCACCUAGGAUCUCAACGCAGAGGCUUGCCUGCAACUUAAUCCUGCACAACAACAAAAACAACAAAAACGAGAGAGAGAAGAAAAAGGAACCAAGAACAAAGAUUUUCAUGGGUUUGCUUCUAGGAGGCGCAGGUUAAGUUAAUCUUACAAUUUCUCCCUAAGCAGAGAAUAAGCUGAGCUUUUAUAGACCGCCUCCUAGGGUUUCCCAAUGCCCAGCAAUGGACAGUUAUGGCUAAGAAAUUAAUUCUCUUAAUUAGUGGCAGUUUCCUUAUUUAAGCUUGUAACUGCAAGAUAUCCAGAUAGGGCUCAAUGGCCACUAUCCAACAUGCGCCCCAUGUGACGGAGGGCGUGAACAACCGGCGGACUGAAAUCAUUCGGUCAAGGUGUUAGCUCAUUCCCUCUCCAAUGGACAGCAACACGCGAGCGGAUCUCCCUUGUUCCAUUUAAACCCCCAUCAACGAAGAAAUGAGCAGCAUUCGAUCAUCUUAAAAACUUACAGAGCUCCGUCGGUCGGAAUCUCUCGAUCUUCGGCUGCCGUUGCUCUGAAACAGAGUAUCCCGACAGCUCUGUUCAAACAGACGCCAUGGUUACCACCAACAUCCAAAUGCCACCAAAGUGCUCAUGUCAGUUCCUCAUUUUCUUGUGGUUCUGAUGAGCCCCAAGCUCGAUUGGUGCUCUGACUUCUAUUGGGCGGAACCAUCAGAUCUCCUGCCGCCGAUCUGCUUCCUGUAGAACCCUUCCCCUAUUCACACAAGGCAAAGAGUUCCACCUCCCGUGACUGAUCAUCUGAGUGGCACUGUUACCUCCGACAACCAAUCGUUGUGAUAUUGCACAGACUGCACCGGCAGUGUGUUACGGUUCCAUUGGACUGGAGCUUGACCGGAGAAGUGGCCAGAGUCGGCUGGAAUAGCAAGUUUUUCAGCUACCUAUUUUUGUGACCGUUGUCCCUAUUACAGCAGGAUACAGCUCUACGGCCAUAUCUUCGAAUCUCGUUGUUCGGUAUUCACAAGAAUGGGCUUUAUGUCUUUCUGACUUCCUCAUGGUCCCAACGAGCCAUAGUACGUGAAGAUUCGAGAAGGGAAUAAAAAUCUGUAGAUAUGCAACGCAGACCCUGUCUUUUGGCAGGUUCAGACUGCGGGUUCUGUGACAGCCACAGAAAUAGUCCCUGGUCCACAGACAUUUCCAUCCAUACCCACCAAGGUUUCACUCUCUCGUUCGUUCCACACGUGCCUGACUUCUCCACGUUUUCAACGAGCUAUAACACAUCUAAAUCCGAGUUGUGAGCUGGGAGAAACGAGCCUGUGAAUAGAACCUGUCUACCGGUAAUCUCAGACCGUGACGCCUGCGACAACUAAGGAUACAUCCUGUUUCGUGGCCACUGUCAUACAACACAGUCCCUAUUCCAAGCAACUAACUGCCAUGCAUGAGAGCAAACGUCCUCAUGAUUCCAAUGAGCCUAAGUGCAUCUAGAUCCGAGCUCUGUGGAAGGAGUUCUAUUGCAGACUCUGUUGCGAAUUUCGCCUAGGCAUCUCAGGCAACCUCCCGACCUGCGGUGACUAUUGUCUCAGCUGGUGCUACAUUCCCCACUUUGCCCGACCCUGUUGCUAUCUCUCCUCGGCAUCCUAGGUAAACCGGUGGACGAGAGGCGCUGCUUUUUCAACAAUAUCCCUAGUCACCGGUGACCGCUCUAAGAUCUUUCGAAAUAAGAGUUCAUCUUCUAUAUCAUUCUCAUUAGAGGGAUCAUGAGAAGACCUCUUAGGGAGACAUCCUUAACACCGUGGAAGCUCACUUGGGAAGGCUUCAGGAUCAUUCAGAGAAGAAAUUUCACUCUUUCCAACUAGUCUAUUUAGAUAUAUGUAGUCAAUAUCUCAAUCAUUUUUUCUUUUAUUUCUUUCUAGUUUAUUCAUUUCCACAUAACUACACAAGAUAGUUUUAAAAUCUUUUCUUCAGUGUCAAAAACUAUGCUUGAGUGCAUCAGGAGCCUGAGCAAGGUAAAAUAAAAUUUUAUUUUUCUUUUUAGGAUUGAAAUAUGUUUCCUUUUUCUCUUUGUUCAUUGAAUGCAUGUAGUUUAUGUUUGAAAUGAUGUUUCAUGCAUAAGUUGAUUGAUUUUUCAAUUAAUCUAUGAACAAAUGGUAA